UACAUGGGGUGCAAACGUUGCUCGGAAUUAUUGGGCGUAAAGCGCGCGUAGGCGGUUACUCAAGUCGGAUGUGAAAGCCCUCGGCUUAACUGAGGAAGUGCACCCGAAACUGAGUAGCUAGAGUACUAAAGAGGGUCGCGGAAUUCCCGGUGUAGAGGUGAAAUGCGUAGAUAUCUGGAGGAACACCGGUGGCGAAGGCGGCAUCCUGGACCGGUAUUGACACUGAGGCGCGAAAGCCAGGGGAGCAAACGGG
This 253-nucleotide ribosomal RNA is filed under the name uncultured bacterium. Its description in RNAcentral is "partial 16S ribosomal RNA". It matches the Rfam family "Bacterial small subunit ribosomal RNA", at positions 524 to 776 of the family's 1533-position model. The record is from RNAcentral.